UACGUAGGAGGCAAGCGUUGUCCGGAAUUACUGGGCGUAAAGCGCGUGUAGGUGGUGGGACAAGUCUGCUGUGAAAGCGCCUGGCUUAACCGGGCGAGGUCGGCGGAAACUGUCCGACUAGAGGACGGUAGAGGGGGGUGGAAUUCCCGGUGUAGUGGUGAAAUGCGUAGAGAUCGGGAGGAACACCUGUGGCGAAGGCGGCCCCCUGGGCCGGCCCUGACACUGAGACGCGAAGGCGUGGGGAGCAAACAGG
Molecule: ribosomal RNA, 253 nt
Filed under: uncultured bacterium
Lineage: Bacteria
Description: partial 16S ribosomal RNA
Rfam family: Bacterial small subunit ribosomal RNA
Source: RNAcentral